This 82-nucleotide non-coding RNA is filed under the name Erwinia tasmaniensis. RNAcentral's name for it is "Hfq-regulated sRNA 12". It matches the Rfam family "Hfq-regulated sRNA 12". The record is from Rfam by way of RNAcentral. Lineage: Bacteria; Pseudomonadati; Pseudomonadota; Gammaproteobacteria; Enterobacterales; Erwiniaceae.
CAUUUUUAUUUUUAUCUUCAUUUCACGGAAUGAACCGCAAAACUUAGUAUUCCCGCCAGGCUUUAUGCCUGGCGUUUUUUUU